GCUAAGACCAGCGUGACAGUGGCCAAAACUACUUUAAAACCAUGUUAAAAGCAUGUUAAAAGCAUGUUUCUAACCGGAUUAUCAAGUUACUAACAUGUUGUUAACAUGUUUCUAUGAUAAUCUAGCUAAAACCAGUUGAUUCAGUAAAGAAAACCAGCUAAGACCAGCUAAGGCCAGCGUGACAGUGGCCAAAACCACUUUAAACCAUGUUAGAAGUAUGUUUCUAGUCUGAUAAGCAAGUUACUAGCAUGUUGUUAACAUUUUUCUAUUCUAAUCCAGCUAAAACCAGUUGAUUCAGUAAAGAAAACCAGCUAAAACCAGCUAAAACCACCUAAGGCCAGCGUGACAGUGGCCAAAACCACUUUAAAACCAUGUUAAAAGCAUAUUUCUAGUCUGAUUAGUGAGUAACUAGCAUGUUGUUUUCAUUUUUCUAUACUAAACCAGCUAAAACCAGUUGAUUCAGUAAAGAAAACCAGCUAAGAACAGGUAAGGCCAGCGUGACAAUGGCCAAAACCACUUUAAACCAUGUUAGAAGUAUGUUUCUAGUCUGAUAAGCAAGUUACUAGCAUGUUGUUAACAUUUUUCUAUUCUAAUCCAGCUAAAACCAGUUGAUUCAGUAAAUAAAACCAGCUAAAACCAGCUAAGACCACCUAAGGCCAGCAUGACAGUGGCCAAAACCACUUUAAAACCAUGUUAAAAGCAUGUUUCUAGUCUGAUUAGUGAGUAACUAGCAUGUUGUUUUCAUUUUUCUAUACUAAACCAGCCAAAACCAGCUUAAACCAUAAAGAAAACCAGCUAAAACCAGCUAAGACCACCUAAGGCCAGCGUGACAGUGGCCAAAACCACUUUAAAACCAUGUUAAAAGCAUGUUUCUAGUCUGAUUAGUGAGUAACUAGCAUGUUGUUUUCAUUUUUCUAUACUAAACCAGCUAAAACCAGUUGAUUCAGUAAAGAAAACCAGCUAAGACCAGGUAAGGCCAGCGUGACAGUGGCCAAAACCACUUUAAACCAUGUUAGAAGUAUGUUUCUAGUCUGAUUAGUGAGUAACUUGCAUGUUGUUAGCAUGUUUCUAUGCUAAUCCGGCCAAAACCAGCUUAAACCAGUGGAUUCAGUAAAAACCAGCUAAAACCCAGCUAAGACCAGCGUGACAGUGGCCAAAACCACUUAAAAACCAGCUUGGGA
Molecule: long non-coding RNA, 1181 nt
Organism: Cyprinus carpio carpio
Lineage: Eukaryota; Metazoa; Chordata; Actinopteri; Cypriniformes; Cyprinidae
Source: Ensembl